AAUCACUAUUAUUGUCAUAAUGGUUUCCCUCAUAACCCUAUUAAUCAAAAGUUCUUUCCCUUCUCAUUUUCAAUUUUGAUAAAUGACAAUGUUUGGGAUGCAAGUUUGUAAAAAUGUCUCACUUUCAUGACUUGUGUGAUUGGAAGAAGAAACCUAGUCUGGAUUGCAUCAACCAUAGCAUUUACAUGAUUUACUUUUACAGUUCUUCCAUUUCACUACUAUAUGUUCAGUAAACUACAAUUAUUCUCAUCAUGUGUUUUCUUUGUAUUUUAGGUCUAGUCUGAGGUGAUCCAUUUUUUUUUCAUUCGUCCGCAGUUCUGAAUUAAGGCUGGUAUGUGUAUUAUGCAUCGCCAUGCUGAGUACUAGAGGGAAGGAAUAACUCAAAUUGUGUUUGAUUCUGAACAAUGGUCAUUUGGGAAUCUAAAAAUUAUUUAAAAUAAAGAUUCAUCUCCUGGUACAUAGCUUGACUUGUCCUGAGCUAGCAAGGAUUCUAGCCAUGGAGAUCAGAAUUGAGUGCAAAUAUCAUUCAGGACUUUCUAUCUCAUGAUCCAUGACUGUUAUUCUGCCAUAGGCGUCUUCAUUUUAAAAAAUCGAUAACUGAUUGGUGAUUGGGAGGCCAUGCCUUUAUAAACUAAAAUGUCAAUUACGGAAUGAAGGCUCCAGAAAACAAGACCAUGGAAAUGGAAAUUUUGGUCCAGCCCUCUACCAUUAUAUUCAGAGUGAAAUGUAUAGAUGGGUUUCUACUGGAUAUUAAUUCCAACUCUCCCAUCUUGAGGUUUCACGAGGAAGUUUUGCAGCUGACUAUAAAAGAUGUCUUGUCUUAUAUUUGACGGUGUCAGAAAUAGAAGACGAAAAAAGAUGCUGCACUUUCGAAGAAAGUUACCUGCACUUAACCGCUAGCCACUAAUUCGAACCGAAGAUAAAAUAUUAUAAUUUUUAUAAAUUGAAGUGCAUAUCUGGGCUCCCUUCUUUUCUGUGGCCCCGUUUCCCCUUGACUUGUGAUAAGCCCGUAGGGGGUCAUGCCCCUACUGU
Daphnia magna is the source of this 1032-nucleotide long non-coding RNA. RefSeq lists it as uncharacterized. The record is from RefSeq and is a predicted model, not a curated record. Lineage: Eukaryota; Metazoa; Arthropoda; Branchiopoda; Diplostraca; Daphniidae. The transcript has 6 exons.